Molecule: RNase P RNA, 265 nt
Filed under: Veillonella sp.
Lineage: Bacteria; Bacillati; Bacillota; Negativicutes; Veillonellales; Veillonellaceae
Description: RNase P RNA component class A
Rfam family: Bacterial RNase P class A
About the family: Ribonuclease P (RNase P) is a ubiquitous endoribonuclease, found in archaea, bacteria and eukarya as well as chloroplasts and mitochondria. Its best characterised activity is the generation of mature 5'-ends of tRNAs by cleaving the 5'-leader elements of precursor-tRNAs.
Source: RNAcentral
GAAGCAAGUAUGAAAGACGGUUGCGAGUCCAUUGGACUCGAGGAAAGUCCGAGCUCCAUAGGGCAGGAUGCCAGAUAACGUCUGGCGAGGGUGACCUUAGGGAAAGUGCCAUAGAAAAGGAAACCGCCACGUCAGUGGUAAGGGUGGGGUCCCGCCUACCUUCCGGGUUGUGUCGCUCGAGCGUGCAGGCGACUGUACGCCUAGAAAGAUAAUCGUCACCGCGCAAGCGGAACAGAACUCGGCUUAAUGAUUGCUUGCUUCUUAU